UUAACUAGGAUUAGAUACCCUAUUAUUUUAAAUGUGAAAUUUAAAACUGAAAUUAUUGUUAGUUAAGGUCUUUAAAGUUAAAGAUUUUGGCGGUAUUUUAGUCUUUUCAGAGGAACCUGUCUUUUAAUCGAUAAUCCACGAUUAUUAAUACUUUAAUUUUUAGCUUGCAUAUCGUCGUUAAACAAAUAUUUUAAUAGGAUUAAAAUGUUUAAGGAUUUUUAUUAUAAAGUAAUUCAGAUCAAGGUGUAGUUUAUAUUAAAGAUAAGAUGGGUUACAUUAUGUUUAUUUGUGGAUCUUUUUUUUUGAAUGGAAGUGAAAUUGGAUUUGAAAGUAAUAUUUUAAUUUAUAUAAUAUGAUUAAGCUCUAAAAUAUGCACACAUCGCCCGUCGCUCU
RNAcentral lists this ribosomal RNA (393 nucleotides) under Pimeliinae sp. MP-2015. RNAcentral describes it as "partial 12S ribosomal RNA". The record is from RNAcentral. Lineage: Eukaryota; Metazoa; Arthropoda; Insecta; Coleoptera; Tenebrionidae.